RNAcentral lists this ribosomal RNA (442 nucleotides) under uncultured bacterium. RNAcentral's name for it is "partial 16S ribosomal RNA". It matches the Rfam family "Bacterial small subunit ribosomal RNA", at positions 338 to 795 of the family's 1533-position model. The record is from RNAcentral.
CCUACGGGAGGCUGCAGUGGGGGAUAUUGGACAAUGGGGGAAACCCUGAUCCAGCGACGCCGCGUGAGUGAAGAAGUAUUUCGGUAUGUAAAGCUCUAUCAGCAGGGCAGCAAGAAAUGACGGUACCUGAGUAAGAAGCCCCGGCUAACUACGUGCCAGCAGCCGCGGUAAUACGUAGGGGGCAAGCGUUAUCCGGAUUCAUUGGGUUUAAAGGGUGCGCAGGCGGGCCUUUAAGCCGGCGGUGAAUUCGCGGGGCUCAACCCCGCCGAGCCGUCGGAACUGGGGGCCUUGAGUGCGGCGGAGGCAUGCGGAAUGCGCGGUGUAGCGGUGAAAUGCAUAGAUAUCGCGCAGAACCCCGAUUGCGAAGGCAGCGUGCCGUGCCGCCACUGACGCUGAGGCACGAAAGCGCGGGGAUCGAACAGGAUUAGAUACCCUAGUAGUC